GGGGAAUCUUGCGCAAUGCGCGAAAGCGUGACGCAGCGACACCGCGUGAGGGAAGACGGCCUUCGGGUUGUAAACCUCUUUCAGGAGGGACGAAGGCAGGCCGGUUAACAGCCGUGCCGGCUGACGGUACCUCCACAAGAAGCACCGGCUAACUACGUGCCAGCAGCCGCGGUAAUACGUAGGGUGCAAGCGUUGUCCGGAAUCAUUGGGCGUAAAGCGCGCGUAGGCGGCCCGAUAAGUCCGCUGUAAAAGUCAACGGCUCAACUGUUGAAAGCCGGUGGAUACUGUCGGGCUAGAGUACGGAAGAGGCAAGUGGAAUUCCUGGUGUAGCGGUGGAAUGCGCAGAUAUCAGGAGGAACACCUAUAGCGAAGGCAGCUUGCUGGGACGUUACUGACGCUAAGGCGCGAAAGCGUGGGGAGCGAAC
Molecule: ribosomal RNA, 425 nt
Filed under: uncultured bacterium
Lineage: Bacteria
Description: bacterial SSU rRNA
Rfam family: Bacterial small subunit ribosomal RNA
Source: RNAcentral